GCUAAACGCGAAGAACCUUACCAAGGCUUGACAUACACGAGAACACUCUGGAAACAGGGGACUCUUUGGACACUCGUGAACAGGUGGUGCAUGGUUGUCGUCAGCUCGUGUCGCGAGAUGUUGGGUUAAGUCCAUCAACGAGCGCAACCCUUAUAGUUAGUUGAAUUUUUCUAGCUAGACUGCCCUGGCAACAGGGAGGAAGGAGGGGAUGAUGUCAGGUCAGUAUUACCCUUACGUCUGGGGCUACAAACACGCUACAAUGGCCGGUACAAAGGGCAGCCAACCCGCGAGGGGGAGCUAAUCCCAUCAAAGCCGGUCUCAGUUCGGAUUGCAGGCUGAAACUCGCCUGCAUGAAGCCGGAAUCGCUAGUAACGGUAAGUCAGCACAUUACCGUGAAUACGUUCCCGGGUCUUGUACACACCG
RNAcentral lists this ribosomal RNA (423 nucleotides) under uncultured bacterium. Its description in RNAcentral is "bacterial SSU rRNA". It matches the Rfam family "Bacterial small subunit ribosomal RNA", at positions 954 to 1392 of the family's 1533-position model. The record is from RNAcentral.